This 211-nucleotide ribosomal RNA is filed under the name uncultured bacterium. RNAcentral's name for it is "partial 16S ribosomal RNA". It matches the Rfam family "Bacterial small subunit ribosomal RNA", at positions 276 to 504 of the family's 1533-position model. The record is from RNAcentral.
ACGAUCAGUAGCCGACCUGAGAGGGUGAUCGGCCACAUUGGAACUGAGACACGGCCCAGACUCCUACGGGAGGCAGCAGUGGGGAAUAUUGCACAAUGGAGGAAACUCUGAUGCAGCGACGCCGCGUGAGCGAAGAAGUAUUUCGGUAUGUAAAGCUCUAUCAGCAGGGAAGAAACUGACGGUACCUGACUAAGAAGCACCGGCUAAAUAC